GAUACAUAAGUGCACUCCCUGGCAAACUGAUGUAUCCCCCCUUCUUCCCGUGAACUUGUGGUUUUGUUUUCUCCCCCGUUCUGGCAAGUGCGUGCCUGGCGUACGCACUGUCGCCUGCCUUUAAGGGAUAAAUAUUCUGGGAAAGAGCGCAGACGCUACCAGGAUGAGAAUUCCCUGGGAAGUUGCAUAGCCUCGCCGGCGCCCUGGAGACCGCGGUGGGAGUUCAACGAAGUCAUGCUCCCCUUGUCCCCCACUUUGCCUCUCUGUUCCUGGGGUACUGGAACCUCGGCUGCCACACUCCGUCUACCAUCCUGAGCUCCAAGCCUGAGCUUGUAGCCAUCCAUACACUUAGGGUUGAUUUACCCUAAAAUAGUACUUAAGUGUUGGAGAUUCUUUUCACCUGUGCGCCAAAGUGCGUCGGUGUUGGCCUUAACAGGGAAAUCUGUUAAGCAAGGGCGCCACCUAGCUUGUCCUUUUCUCUCUUUGCCCUUCAUUCGUUCAUUUAGAGAGCGUCAGCGUGAAACAGUAGGCUGGAGAAGCAACAGGGCAGGAUGCCAUUUAAAGAUGUAAUCUGUCCACUCCAGUGAUUCCAGCGCUAUUUACAUGACAACGUUUGUCACACUUUAUGGGGAAAACUCCUUUUUUGAAUCAUUCCACUUAUGUAGUGGCUGCAUGUUUUAAAAUGAUAGAUUAGGGAUGUUACAUACUGUUUGGGGCUUCCCAGGGGGCGCGAGUGGUGAAGGGCCUGCAUGCCAAUGGCAGGAGACAUAGGAAACACUGAUUCCACCCCUGGAUUGGGAAGUUCCCCUGGAGGAGGAAAUGGCAACCCACUCCAGUAUUCUCUCCUGGAGAAUCCCAUGGACAGAGGAGCCUGGCAGGCUACAGUCCAUGGGGUCGCAAAGAGUCAGACACGACUGAAGGGACUUAGCACACGUGUAUGCUGUUUUACAUUACUCUCUGAUAAAACACUUUGUUCCCGUAAAGAACCAUCUUAUCCAAUUUCUAACCCAUGCUUUAAACAUGUUCACAGGAUGAUGGUUUCUUCACCUGUACCUUUGGAAUGUUUCCAGUGCCUACUUCAUAAGGCUGUUGUGAAGAUUACAUGGCUUAGAACAUGCAAAGCUCCAAAAAGUGUCUCAUGUACAGUAAGCACUCAUGCAGCAUCUACACGGUCCACCACGGUGUAUAUCCCUAUGCUGCCAUCGUCAAAACCCACAAUGAUGUUCAGGUGCCGCUGGGAGAGG
This is a long non-coding RNA of Bubalus bubalis (water buffalo), 1244 nucleotides long. RefSeq lists it as uncharacterized. Lineage: Eukaryota; Metazoa; Chordata; Mammalia; Artiodactyla; Bovidae. The record is from RefSeq and is a predicted model, not a curated record. The transcript has 3 exons.